UGGUUGGAGCACCCCUGCAGGGUUAAAUCUUUCGGAAAGCCGUGCCCGCGGUUAUGUGGCAACGUGGAAACUUUGUUUAACACUGGUUCUAGAUAACUUGAAGUAACUUAAUUAAAACAUGCCAACUAAGUGCGUAACCGUGACUGUCUCUUUCGUGAGUUCCUUCUCCGAUUGAGGACACGGUGGGGUUAUGUCUGACGUAGGUAGGUGUUCAGGAUCAUUUAUUUGAUCAC
This 233-nucleotide long non-coding RNA is filed under the name Hordeum vulgare. RNAcentral describes it as "long non-coding RNA (HVUL_LNC012193)". The record is from RNAcentral. Lineage: Eukaryota; Viridiplantae; Streptophyta; Magnoliopsida; Poales; Poaceae.